GGGCCCGUAGUUAAGUGGUAGAACACCUCAUUUGCAAUGAGGAGACGGCAGUCCGAUUCUGCCCGGGUCCA
RNAcentral lists this transfer RNA (71 nucleotides) under Patescibacteria group bacterium. RNAcentral describes it as "tRNA-Ala". It matches the Rfam family "tRNA". Rfam says of the family: Transfer RNA (tRNA) molecules are approximately 80 nucleotides in length. Their secondary structure includes four short double-helical elements and three loops (D, anti-codon, and T loops). RNAcentral also lists the same sequence under 1 other name. The record is from RNAcentral.